Non-coding RNA from Paramuricea clavata, 73 nucleotides. The record is from the annotation of a GenBank genome assembly. NCBI's taxonomy places the organism in Eukaryota, Metazoa, Cnidaria, Anthozoa, Malacalcyonacea, Plexauridae.
GACCGCGUAGCUCUGUUGGCAGAGCAUUGGGCUAGUAUUCCAAAGGUCGUAGGUUCGAUUCCCACCGUGGACA